Long non-coding RNA from Numida meleagris (helmeted guineafowl), 4318 nucleotides. RefSeq lists it as uncharacterized. The transcript has 3 exons. NCBI's taxonomy places the organism in Eukaryota, Metazoa, Chordata, Aves, Galliformes, Numididae. The record is from RefSeq and is a predicted model, not a curated record.
AGCUUCUUCUCAUUGUUUCUGUGCCUAUGGCUGUUGCGUUUCAGCGAUAUGCUGAUGUCACUUGUUGCAGCCUGGGUUGUUGCUACUCUGCUCUCAUUGCUGAGCUCUUCAUUGCGUUACAGCAUGUAGCAACAGGAUGACGGGCAAUGGCUUUAAACUGGAUGAAGGUAGAUUUUGACUAGAUAUUAAGAAGAAAUUCUUUACUGUGAGCAUGGUAAGACACUGGGAACGAGUUGCCUAGUGAGGCUGUGCAUGCCCUCUCCCUGGAAGUAUUCAAGGCCAGGUUGGAUGGGGCUCUGAGCAACCUGGUCUAGUGGGAUGUGUCUCUGCCUACAGCAGGGGAAUUGGAACUAGAUGUUCUUAAAGGUCCCUUGCAACCCAAACCAUUCUGUGAUGAUUUCCAUUUGCAUAAACAAAUCUAGGAGAAAAUGUGUAAGAUACUCAGAUUAAAUUUUCCUAUGCUUUGGAGGCUGCCUUUCCCUCUGUCAUGGUUUUAUGAUUUUUGCUAUUGGUAUUCAACCACGUAACUUCAUGUGGUGCACUGGGAGUUAAAGAGUUAAUGCUCCAGUUCCGUGGAUUGUUGAUAGUUCCAGGUCUACCUGUCUCAGAAGAGAAGAGCAACCACAUAUCCCUGAUGACUGUUCCAUUUCUGUUUUCCAUUCAGAGGGAAAGAUAAAACUGUUUGCAGGUCAUGAAACAGCCCUCUUUUUCCCUUUCUGCUAAUCUCUGCAGCAUGUGUGUUCCCUAGCCAUCUUGCCUUCAGCAUUAGAGUAAGGCCUUCAGUUUUUGGACACGCUCUCAUUUUACUUGAUGUAUUAGCUUUGAUUCCAGUGAUAUUGUAUUGUAUUAUCUUGCGUUCUGAUAUAGUAUUUAGUAAAUUAGCUUUCUUCCUCAGAUUGUUGCCACUGUUUUGUUUUUAGGCCCAUCUCCCUACCCUCUUCUCACUUUUCCAUAGUGUAGGUCCAUGCAUUCUCCUGCCCCAUUAGUCACAGAACCGGGCCAAAGUGGCCUGUAAGCCACCAACAGCCUCUGAUGAAGGUUGGAGGGAACAGUUUCUGAAUGGAGACAGGAGAACUCUGUAUUUCCUCUACUGAGUAAGGCUCUGUAUCUUUUCUUGUAAAUGAACAGCUUAUCAGCUAAGACUUCAUACCCCUGUAGUAUCCAGAUGAAGGGAUGGCAGAGGGAAAGCUUGGUGAUAUUUCCUGACCAAUAAAGAUAAUUAUGAUUACUCUAGUAUUGAUACAAUGAAAUGCACUUAACCCAGAAAUAAAGCCCCAUCUUGAGAAGCAUUUAAUGUAUAAACAGUACUGACACCUGUCUUCUAUUUUCUACUGUAAAUUCAGAGGCAUAGUUUCAUUUACAGAAUCAUAGACUUGCAGGGGUUGGAAGGGACCUCAGAAGGUCGCUGUGUCCAACACCCCAGCUAAAACAGGUUGCAGAGGUAGGUGUCCAGACAGGUCUUGGAUAUCUUCACAGAAGGAGACUCCCCAGCCUCUCUUCUUCUCCACUGAGAAGAACCUGGCCUCAGCCAUUUACCUCGCACCUCCCUUUAGAUAUUCACAAACAUUAAUCAGAUCCCCUCUUGAUAUUCUUUUCCACUGCUUGAAUGGACCCAGGUUACUCAGCCUUUCCUGCUCCAGGUCCUUUAUAAUCUUUGUGGCCCUCUGCUGGACUCCUCCUAGGAGAUCUCUGUCUUUUUUUGAACUGGCAAGCCCUGAAUGGGACACAGUAGUCUAAGUGUGGCCUAAUCUGGGUAGAGUAGUGGAGGAGGGUCACCUCCCUUGACCUGCUGGCAACACUCUUUUUAAUGCAACUGGAGACGUUUACUGGAAAUGUAGACCACAUUUGCAAAAAGACAGUAACUGGAUGAGAAUACAGUGAGCAAAAAUGCAAAAACAUAGCUACUGCUAUCCCUGUAGUGUUUUACAGCAGCUGUAUGCCUUUGCUUAAUGAGACUAACUAAGACCAAAUGCUGCUGCUGAAAUACACCUACUGUGAAUCAUACAGACCCAAUUUUCAUUUGCAACACUUCCCCUCACCUAUCCUGUCCUCUGCUUUGAUUUCAGCAGAUGUCUAGCUGAUUUACACUAGGAUGAAAGAGAAGAAUCAGGCCCAACUUUCCAGGUACCAUCAGUAGCAGCACAGGUGUUCUUUUGCUGGUAGCAGCUGGUGUGUGCUAAUUAGCAGGAAAACAAAAUUCAUUUUUAGUUGCGUAAAAACUUCUAAGAAGGGAGAUGGCUCAACGUAAAGCCUCAGCAUAUUACAAUAUGCUCCACAGGCAUAAAUAACCUGACAGAAUGGAAUUUUCCAUUGCCUUGCACCACACUAUUCAGGAGCUUGAAUUUUGAAAGACAGGAUCUCCUUAAAAUUUGCUUGUACAGCAGAUCUGCAUUAGGUUGCAGAAAAAUUAUUAGGGAAUAUUAAAAGACUCACUUGCUCCCUCCCACUCAGAAAACAGGGCAGAAAGAGAAAACAAAACAGAUCAACAAAACACCACAAUAACUGAUAAGGAAACUCCAGGGUGCUGUGUUUGUAAACAUUUAAUUAGCCAUCUACUUCAGAAGAUGCCAUAUGAUAAGCUACUGUAACAAGCAAAAUGCUCUCUGGAAGUAAGAAGCACUGAGCGCUACCGGGACCAAUCAGUCUGGGCAGCUGGGAAAUAGACUACUGCAGAUUUCAGUGUGGUUGCGUAUUAGUAAGAGAAAAGACAAACAGCAUGCUGGAACUGAUUGGUGAUUUGAAAGGGGAAGGACACGAAAAUCAACAAUCGGUUAAAGACACAACAAAACGCUUACGUGGGCUACGGUGCCUAAUACGAUGGGAAAGUUCUGAGGCAGGGGAGAUUUGGGAGAGUGUUGAGCACAAUUUGACGUAAAAAGACAACAAGAAAGAAACUCUGUACACUUUAAAAAAAAAAAGAGUAUGUGAGUACAUGUUUGAAUCCUGUUCACAGCACAAGAGUUCAGCUCUCAGACUCGCACAGCACCUGGGCUAUGAAGUAUCGUUACAUCCUAUGAGUCCUUAUUUCCAUAAAACAAGACAACGAUAACAAAGGCAGGGACUAUUAUUUUGAAUGUAUCUGCAUCUAAGAAGAGAGAGAUGUUUCCCACAAUGUUUAUCUCAUAUCAGUGUAAUACUCCAGAUACAAAGGAAUUUGGAAAAUAAAAUGCUGAGGACCCAACUAAAACAAAGGAGCGUAAGCACAAGCUAGGUAUUUUGAUCAAGAUGACUACUGCGAGUUUUAUCUGCUGAGAAUAUGAGGAAGGUUUGAAACACCUCACGUAACAGUGCCAGGAUUUGUUAAACCAGGAGUCAUGACAGCAGACCCAUUAUGGAGAAGCGAUGCCUCAGAGUGACUCUUUGCAGAAGGGAUUUGCAGAGAGCACCUUCUGAUACUGCACAUUUUUCUGGGUAUGCCGUACUUGCAAGUAACUAUUGUUCCGACUUCCUCAGAUCACAAACCAGAGAAUCGAGUCACCUCGACGCCAUCAACACGGGUGGUACAAGUAGCACAAGGCAGCUAGUGUUGAUGCGUCACAGAAGUUUGGAACUAUGCUUAGAAAUAGAAACGCGUCACGACUACACAAGAGGUCACACGGCUGCAGAGAAAAUGUUGGGGAGAGUGAGCUGCUGUGAGGUGCUGAGGAGCAAGGCGCAGCCUAAACAGUGCCUGGAUCUUAAAUAAAGGCAAUGACAGAGCCUUUAUUGGCUUUACACAGGAAUAAGGGCUGCAGUGAGGCACUUUAAUACAAGGAUGAGCCUGAGCAUGUGAGUGGUUUCCUCAGUGGUGGGACAACAGAGGUGAGUGCUUGGGGCCCAGGGGUAUGACCACCCCCCCCCCCCCGUGUGAGUGGAGGGGAUAGUGGCUGCCUGCGCCAUGCUGUCUUGGUGCAGGAGCUCCCACGCUGGCAGUGCUCUACUUCCUGCAGGUCCAAGGCUGGAGUGAGGAUCCUGGUGCUGCGAAGCUGUUAGUGACCCUUCAGAGUGAGGUGAGCUCUGUCCUUCUGCCUCCAGCCUGCACGUUUCCCUCUUGAAAUGGGGUUUAUGGCUCCAGCUGGGUGCUGGAGGACAAAAGUGCUCCUGUUUGUGGGGGUGAUAAUGUGCAGGGUGCCUGGGUCCUUCCCUGAGGUGAGGUGCCAUCCUGUGUCAUUGUGAUUCCCUUUCAGCCUUGAAGGUGUGAGGCAGCUAGAUGGGGUUGACAUAAUGAGAGGUAAGCGGUGUGGGGCUUCAGCAGCCUUCUCCUGCUGGAGUUUGAGGUGGUUGUGCUGCUCUCUGCUCUGAGGGAGCCCUUGUACUCCCUUGGUGGGGAGUGCAGGGG